AAAUCUGUUGAAAUCUGUUCUCUUACAGGACCAAGUCRGUGAAGAGGACGUUGACGACGCUUUCAAAUCCAUGUUUGCUCAGCUUGCAGGAGAGGACAUGGAGAUAUCUGUCCGUGAGCUCAGGACCAUCCUGAACAGGGUGGUGACUAGACAUAAAGACCUGAAGACAGACGGUUUCAGUAUGGAGUCCUGUAGGACCAUGGUCAACCUCAUGGAUGUAUCC
Salvelinus sp. IW2-2015 is the source of this 223-nucleotide long non-coding RNA. RefSeq lists it as uncharacterized. Lineage: Eukaryota; Metazoa; Chordata; Actinopteri; Salmoniformes; Salmonidae. The record is from RefSeq and is a predicted model, not a curated record.